This is a long non-coding RNA of Gadus macrocephalus (Pacific cod), 472 nucleotides long. RefSeq lists it as uncharacterized. The record is from RefSeq and is a predicted model, not a curated record. The transcript has 3 exons. Lineage: Eukaryota; Metazoa; Chordata; Actinopteri; Gadiformes; Gadidae.
CAAGUGCCUUUUCACAGAUUUUGUGUCUCAGACAAGGACAUCCUUUUUUACACCAGAUUCACGUCAAGAGAUGUUUUUUGUGACUUCUGGGAGGUUAUUCAACCAUCUGCCUCCAUGUUGGUUUAUUGGUCGAAAGCUCAGAAAAAGAAACAAACAUUUGAACCCAUUUCUCCCAGUCCAACGUGUAGACUGCAACUGGUUGAGUUUUUUCUCUUCUGCUGCCGGGUUGCUGCAGGCCUGCAAGAGAAGGUGCUGGCUGACAUGUUUCAGAGCUGACUGAACGAAGUGGACUGCUGGAUUUACUGGAGCCAGGAGAUGGCUGCAUGGCAGACAAGGGUUUCACCAUCGAGAAGCCACUAGCUGAUCGUGGGGCAACGCUGAUUAUACCACACUUCAAGAUGACAGUUCACCGAAGAGGAUGCUCUGAAAACACAAGCAAUCGCCCGACUUCGAAUCCUCGUAGAAAGAGCAA